Molecule: ribosomal RNA, 253 nt
Filed under: uncultured bacterium
Lineage: Bacteria
Description: partial 16S ribosomal RNA
Rfam family: Bacterial small subunit ribosomal RNA
Source: RNAcentral
UACGUAGGGUGCAAGCGUUGUCCGGAAUUAUUGGGCGUAAAGAGCUCGUAGGCGGUCUGUCGCGUCGGCUGUGAAAACCUGAGGCUCAACCUCAGGCCUGCAGUCGAUACGGGCAGACUAGAGUUCGGUAGGGGAGUCUGGAAUUCCUGGUGUAGCGGUGAAAUGCGCAGAUAUCAGGAGGAACACCGGUGGCGAAGGCGGGACUCUGGGCCGAUACUGACGCUGAGGAGCGAAAGCGUGGGGAGCAAACAGG